RNAcentral lists this ribosomal RNA (234 nucleotides) under Listeria monocytogenes. RNAcentral's name for it is "partial 16S ribosomal RNA". It matches the Rfam family "Bacterial small subunit ribosomal RNA", at positions 1 to 223 of the family's 1533-position model. Lineage: Bacteria; Bacillati; Bacillota; Bacilli; Caryophanales; Listeriaceae. The record is from RNAcentral.
UUUAAAGAGAGUUUGAUCCUGGCUCAGGACGAACGCUGGCGGCGUGCCUAAUACAUGCAAGUCGAACGAACGGAGGAAGAGCUUGCUCUUCCAAAGUUAGUGGCGGACGGGUGAGUAACACGUGGGCAACCUGCCUGUAAGUUGGGGAUAACUCCGGGAAACCGGGGCUAAUACCGAAUGAUAAAGUGUGGCGCAUGCCAUGCUUUUGAAAGAUGGUUUCGGCUAUCGCUUACA